GACGAACGCUGGCGGCGUGCUUAACACAUGCAAGUCGAACGGAAAGGCCCUGCUUUUGUGGGGUGCCCGAGUGGCGAACGGGUGCGUAACACGUGAGUAACCUGCUCUUGUCUUUGGGAUAACUUCAGGAAACUGGGGCUACUAUCGGACAGGAGACCCUGUUGCAUGGUGGGGGUUGGAAAGUCUCGGCGGUCGGGGAUGGACUCGCGGCUUAUCAGCUUGUUGGUGGGGUAGUGGCUUACCAAGGCUUUGACGGGUCGCCGGCCUGAGAGGGUGACCAGCCACAUUGGGACUGAGAUACGGCCCAGACGGCAACGGGGGGCAGCAGUGGGGAGUAUUGCACAAUGGGCGGAAGCCUGAUGCGGCGACGCCGCGUGCGGGAAGACGGCCUUCGGGUUGUAAACCGCAUUCGCCUGUGACGAAGCGUGAGUGACGGUAAUGAGUAAAGAAGCACCGGCUAACUACGUG
This 468-nucleotide ribosomal RNA is filed under the name uncultured bacterium. RNAcentral's name for it is "partial 16S ribosomal RNA". It matches the Rfam family "Bacterial small subunit ribosomal RNA", at positions 28 to 507 of the family's 1533-position model. The record is from RNAcentral.